GUAACGGUGAGACUUUAUUAAUUAGUCUCGUAACCAAACAGAUCUUUUGUUCAGCUCUUCUUCAACCCUAAUUACCACAGGCCGCAAGAACCGUCUUCUAUAAUGGCGUCGGAGAAACGAUGCCAUUACGAGGUCCUUGGACUCUCUCGUGAGUGCACAGCAGAGGAAAUCCGCUCUGCAUACAAGAAACUAGCUCUCCAGCGCCACCCCGACAAGCUCAUCCAAUCCGGCUUGAGCCAAGCUGAAGCCACCGCUCAAUUUCAGGAGCUUGCUUACGCUUACGAGGUUCUCUCCGACCCUAAGGAACGCGCCUGGUACGAUUCUCACCGCUCUCAGAUCCUCUUCUCCGAUCCUAAUUCCGCCAACUCGGUCCCUGGAUCUGUCAUCCCUAAUUUAUUUUCCUUCUUCUCUAACAUGGUCUAUUCGGGUUAUACGGAUACAGGCAAAGGGUUUUAUAAGGUGCAUUCGAAUGUUUUUAACAAAAUUUACGUGAAUGAGGUCAGUUUUUUGUAAGAAAUUAGGGUUAAGGUUGGACAGUCUGAGGGAGGCGUCGGUGAUGGGGAAUUUGGGGAGUCCGUAUUGGGCAGGUUACAGCGUUUUAUAAUUACUGGUUAGGGUUUUGUACGGUAAUGGAUUUUUGUUGGGUGGAUCAAUACGAUGUAAUGGCCGGGCCGAAUCGGAAAUCAAGGAGGGCGAUGGAGGAAGAGAACAAGAAGUUGAGGAAAAAGGCCAGGAGGGAGUAUAAUGAGACGGUGAGGGGAUUGGCGGAAUUUGUGAAGAAGAGGGAUAAAAGAGUGAUUGAUAUGAUGGUGAAGAAAAAUGCGGAGUUGGAGAAAAAGAAAGAGGAGGAGAGGGAGAGGAAGAAGAAGUUGGAGAGAGAGAAAAUGGAGAGAGUUAGAGCAUAUGAGGAGCCGGAGUGGGCAAGACUGAAUGAAGAGGAUGUGGAGGAGGUGGAGGGGUUUGAGGAGGAAGGAAAGGGUAAGACGGGGAAUGGAGGG
RNAcentral lists this unclassified non-coding RNA (998 nucleotides) under Hevea brasiliensis (rubber tree). The record is from RNAcentral. Lineage: Eukaryota; Viridiplantae; Streptophyta; Magnoliopsida; Malpighiales; Euphorbiaceae.